RNAcentral lists this ribosomal RNA (1349 nucleotides) under uncultured beta proteobacterium. RNAcentral describes it as "bacterial SSU rRNA". It matches the Rfam family "Bacterial small subunit ribosomal RNA", at positions 29 to 1376 of the family's 1533-position model. The record is from RNAcentral. Lineage: Bacteria; Pseudomonadati; Pseudomonadota; Betaproteobacteria.
UUGAACGCGUGGCGGCAUGCCUUACACAUGCAAGUCGAACGGCAGCACGGGUGCUUGCACCUGGUGGCGAGUGGCGAACGGGUGAGUAAUACAUCGGAACAUGUCCUGUAGUGGGGGAUAGCCCGGCGAAAGCCGGAUUAAUACCGCAUACGAUCUACGGAUGAAAGCGGGGGACCUUCGGGCCUCGCGCUAUAGGGUUGGCCGAUGGCUGAUUAGCUAGUUGGUGGGGUAAAGGCCUACCAAGGCGACGAUCAGUAGCUGGUCUGAGAGGACGACCAGCCACACUGGGACUGAGACACGGCCCAGACUCCUACGGGAGGCAGCAGUGGGGAAUUUUGGACAAUGGGCGAAAGCCUGAUCCAGCAAUGCCGCGUGUGUGAAGAAGGCCUUCGGGUUGUAAAGCACUUUUGUCCGGAAAGAAAUCCUUGGCUCUAAUACAGUCGGGGGAUGACGGUACCGGAAGAAUAAGCACCGGCUAACUACGUGCCAGCAGCCGCGGUAAUACGUAGGGUGCGAGCGUUAAUCGGAAUUACUGGGCGUAAAGCGUGCGCAGGCGGUUUGCUAAGACCGAUGUGAAAUCCCCGGGCUCAACCUGGGAACUGCAUUGGUGACUGGCAGGCUAGAGUAUGGCAGAGGGGGGUAGAAUUCCACGUGUAGCAGUGAAAUGCGUAGAGAUGUGGAGGAAUACCGAUGGCGAAGGCAGCCCCCUGGGCCAAUACUGACGCUCAUGCACGAAAGCGUGGGGAGCAAACAGGAUUAGAUACCCUGGUAGUCCACGCCCUAAACGAUGUCAACUAGUUGUUGGGGAUUCAUUUCCUUAGUAACGUAGCUAACGCGUGAAGUUGACCGCCUGGGGAGUACGGUCGCAAGAUUAAAACUCAAAGGAAUUGACGGGGACCCGCACAAGCGGUGGAUGAUGUGGAUUAAUUCGAUGCAACGCGAAAAACCUUACCUACCCUUGACAUGGUCGGAAUCCCGCUGAGAGGUGGGAGUGCUCGAAAGAGAACCGGCGCACAGGUGCUGCAUGGCUGUCGUCAGCUCGUGUCGUGAGAUGUUGGGUUAAGUCCCGCAACGAGCGCAACCCUUGUCCUUAGUUGCUACGCAAGAGCACUCUAAGGAGACUGCCGGUGACAAACCGGAGGAAGGUGGGGAUGACGUCAAGUCCUCAUGGCCCUUAUGGGUAGGGCUUCACACGUCAUACAAUGGUCGGAACAGAGGGUUGCCAACCCGCGAGGGGGAGCUAAUCCCAGAAAACCGAUCGUAGUCCGGAUUGCACUCUGCAACUCGAGUGCAUGAAGCUGGAAUCGCUAGUAAUCGCGGAUCAGCAUGCCGCGGUGAAUACGUUCCCG